AUUGAACGCUGGCGGCAUGCCUUACACAUGCAAGUCGAACGGCAGCACGGGUGCUUGCCCCUGGUGGCGAGUGGCGAACGGGUGAGUAAUACAUCGGAACAUGUCCUGUAGUGGGGGAUAGCCCGGCGAAAGCCGGAUUAAUACCGCAUACGAUCUACGGAUGAAAGCGGGGGACCUUCGGGCCUCGCGCUAUAGGGUUGGCCGAUGGCUGAUCAGCUAGUUGGUGGGGUAAAGGCCUACCAAGGCGACGAUCAGUAGCUGGUCUGAGAGGACGACCAGCCACACUGGGACUGAGACACGGCCCAGACUCCUACGGGAGGCAGCAGUGGGGAAUUUUGGACAAUGGGCGAAAGCCUGAUCCAGCAAUGCCGCGUGUGUGAAGAAGGCCUUCGGGUUGUAAAGCACUUUUGUCCGGAAAGAAAUCCUUGGCCCUAAUACGGUCGGGGGAUGACGGUACCGGAAGAAUAAGCACCGGCUAACUACGUG
This 486-nucleotide ribosomal RNA is filed under the name uncultured bacterium. RNAcentral describes it as "partial 16S ribosomal RNA". It matches the Rfam family "Bacterial small subunit ribosomal RNA", at positions 30 to 507 of the family's 1533-position model. The record is from RNAcentral.